Molecule: long non-coding RNA, 1265 nt
Organism: Seriola aureovittata
Lineage: Eukaryota; Metazoa; Chordata; Actinopteri; Carangiformes; Carangidae
Exons: 3
Source: RefSeq, a predicted model, not a curated record
UAAAGCAGGUGUCAAUGUUUACAAUUAUUGAGAGGAGGAGGUAUCCUUCUAGUCAGGAAAAAAGAAAAAAACAACACCAGGAAAAACACCAGGAAAAUGGAUUUCGGGAACAGCAAUCAGGGCACCCAGAGACUACGCUGGGUGGAGUGUCGAUGUCCGCCACAGCUGACAGAUGAGGUCACUGCAGGAAAAGGAAGUGGGAUGCGCUUCUGUGACCUGUCAAGUGGGCGUAGGAAAUGUGAAUGGUCAUCUGGGUCCAAGUCAGACAAGGUUUGAUCGAUAUAUCCGGAAGAAGCUCGGAGCGAUGCCACGGUCUGGGAUUGCACAGGAUUUUGGAAUUAUCCGCUGAUGGGUUGCAAAGGGUCUGGUGAAACACUCGUCAGCAACAGGCUUUGAUCAGGCGUGCCGGGAGAGGACAGGAGCGACACUGACCGAAUAUAUUUUGACUGGCCCGAGUGAAAAAAGGCUGGCAGCGAGUGUUAGAACGGGCACAGAAAAGGAGAAAGUGUAAAACUGAAUUUGUCAGACCUGACGGGACUUUUCGGUUUCAUGCCGUCUGGGUCUUAUUUUAUUUUUUUUGUUUUGACCAUCCUUCCUGUCCAUAUUCAUAAUAUUUUACUAAGUUAACUGCUAGGAUGUUGAAACAUGGAGACUAAAGCAAAAAAAAAAAAAAAAAAAAAAUCAAAUAUGCGGUAAAAUUAUUACCAAAACUGUAACCACUAUAAACAUAAAUCACUAUUAACAAACUGAAACUUGUAUUGAAAUUCAACGUACUUACCCAUAGUUUUUGUCUACAAUGAUGGGUCAUUACUAACAUUUUUGGGUGUGCUUAGUUUUGGUUUUAUCUCCAAAUAAAGUUUAAAUAAUGGUUUUUACACACAGGAAAUUUGACCUCUACAUCUGAAAGUAGUGAACACACACACACCUGGAGCAGAGGGCAGCUGUGGUGCAGCGCCCAGGGAGCCAUUGGGGAGUUUUGUGCCUUGCUCAAGGGCACUUCAGCCAUGUAUGUUGAGGGAGGGGAAAGUACUGCCCCGCAGCUGCCCCCGUGGUCUAGAGGUUGUGUUUAUGACCUCAUGUUUCCUGCCCUGUCAGGUUUGAUUGUAGAAACAUCGUCUUGUUUCCAGAUUGGAGCAGUUUUUUCAGCGACGUCACUAUUGACCAAAACUAUGUAAAUGCAACCCAAAAUAAUCAAGAGAGAUUUGACUUGAAAAGCCAAUCCACCCAUAUCACCCCUUGUGGUAGCCAUUGAGAUAGUUUGAUUU